This 743-nucleotide long non-coding RNA is filed under the name Gallus gallus (chicken). RNAcentral describes it as "long non-coding RNA NONGGAT003976". Lineage: Eukaryota; Metazoa; Chordata; Aves; Galliformes; Phasianidae. The record is from RNAcentral.
AGUAGUCCAGCCCAUGCUGGAGAGCAGAGGAAUGAGAGUCCUAGGCUGUGUUUGUUCUACUGAUGAUACCUUUUAAGCUGAACGUCACAGAAUUAAUGGUCUUCAAUCCAGUCUUCAGGCUGCUGAGCUCCUCCUUUUGUACAGUCCUUUUCCAGAAGCACAUCUCUGAUUUAUGCAGCUUGACAAAAUCCUAAACCUGCAGUCUCCUUGUCCUCCUGUUAAAUGGCUUGCAUGUGUCUCCAUCCUCACCAUGCCUUCUCAGAGAGCACUGGUGUUGUGCAUCUCUCCAUCCCUCCGAGGUGCAUUUGGCCUUCCUUCUCUGCGAUUCCUCCCCUUCCCUUUUUCCUGACACAGACUCAAGUUUUAAAAAUCCAUUUUCCUUCUCUGAGCCACCAUUAUGCACAAAUACUUCUCUGCUCUUCUUCACAUGCCACCAAUUUCCUCCAGAACCUGUCACUCUCAUCUGGCUACUUAACUGUGUAAUGAUAUGAAAUAUUCACUCUAAUGAGCCCCUGCUGUGGAUACCACUUGAUCCUGCCUUGUUUUUGUUCUUUUUGACUCUGACCUCACUGAAUGUUGUACUUCGACUUUCCUUCUCCCAAAUUUCAAACUGCUUCCUGAAGCUACACCAUACGUGCAUAUGUACAGCUCAUACAACAUACGUCUUUUCUGCUGAUGUUUUCAGAAGGAACAAGGGCUAUCUUGAUGGGAAUUUUCAGCAAAUACCACGUGAUCAGUCUCGG